GUUCUGAUGAGGAGUUCCAGAAACUAGGACGAAACAGCUGUCCAGUAC
Molecule: non-coding RNA, 48 nt
Filed under: Trichobilharzia regenti
Lineage: Eukaryota; Metazoa; Platyhelminthes; Trematoda; Strigeidida; Schistosomatidae
Source: RNAcentral